This 452-nucleotide ribosomal RNA is filed under the name uncultured bacterium. Its description in RNAcentral is "bacterial SSU rRNA". It matches the Rfam family "Bacterial small subunit ribosomal RNA", at positions 29 to 527 of the family's 1533-position model. The record is from RNAcentral.
AGCGAACGCUGGCGGCAGGCCUAACACAUGCAAGUCGAACGGAUCCUUCGGGAUUAGUGGCGGACGGGUGAGUAACACGUGGGAACGUGCCCUUUGGUUCGGAACAACUCAGGGAAACUUGAGCUAAUACCGGAUGUGCCCUUCGGGGAAGGAUUAUCGCCAUUGGAGCGGCCCGCGUCUGAUUAGCUAGUUGGUGGGGUAAAGGGCCCACCAAGGCGACGAUCAGUAGCUGGUCUGAGAGGAUGAUCAGCCACAUUGGGACUGAGACACGGCCCAAACUCCUACGGGAGGCAGCAGUGGGGAAGUCUUGCGCAAUGGGCGAAAGCCUGACGCAGCCAUGCCGCGUGAAUGAUGAGGGUCUUAGGAUUGUAAAAUUCUUUCACCGGGACGAUAAUGACGGUACCCGGAGAAGAAGCCCCGGCUAACUUCGUGCCAGCAGCCGCCGCAGUAAG